Long non-coding RNA from Leopardus geoffroyi (Geoffroy's cat), 760 nucleotides. RefSeq lists it as uncharacterized. The transcript has 3 exons. NCBI's taxonomy places the organism in Eukaryota, Metazoa, Chordata, Mammalia, Carnivora, Felidae. The record is from RefSeq and is a predicted model, not a curated record.
UAGACACGUGAUGCUUGUUCUGUUGUUCUGGGCCCUUUACGGUGUCAGCUCCGUGGAAGCAGACUUCUGGUCUCCCCUGGCUCCCAUGCCACCCAGAGGGCCUGGCACACGAUGUUUUUAAUGCGCUACUGUGAAUGAAUACUGACCUCGGAGAUCAGCAUGGUGAAUGAACCCGGGCGUAAAACAAAUUGGGGUGAAGUUCUCCCCUGUGCCCGCUUCUCUGCGUGUCCUCGGAGCAGUUAUUUAAUCUUCCCGAAUCUCUGUGUCCUCAUCGAUAAAAUGGGGUGAAGUUUAUGUCUACUUUAAAAAGCUGUAUUAAAUGAGAUAACAUGCAUCCAGGGACUUAGCACUGAGAUUGGCAAAUAUCCUGAGCUCGUCCCUCAGAAUGUCCACUGGAGCCUAAUGCCUUCGGCCCGUAAGCCCGCAGCACAAAGAUCGCAAAGCCAAGUUGCUGAACAAACCCGUUUCUAAAUUACAAGUGCUCCUCGGUGCCAAGAAAGGAAUUCACGGGGCAGCGUUUGCCAAGAAAUCAUUUAUCAGAUCAGAAGUCGAUGUCACUGGUUCCCCAGCAUCAAAAUUCACCUCCAAACCACAAAGCUGGAGAGCAUUUUCUUUGUAACUGGUCUGACACUCUCCCAGCCUUCAUAUGUAAAGAGAGCUCAUAGAUGAGUUUUUUUUAAGGCAACGCCCGUAAAAAGAAACAGGGGAGGCUAAUAAAUGAACGCACUGUAAUGCUCAGCUCGUUAGUAAGGCAAUUAUA